GUGAGAGGUUUCAAAAUUCCAUGGAGUUUGUGAAUUGAAGAACUCAAACUUUCAGCCUGAUUGGACUUCCAGUUGGAUCAGACUUUUGUUGGAGUCAAUUUAUUCAGAGAUUUGGAUGCUGAAUAAUUUGCAGCUCAGCUACUGGAUCAGGGUAAUGGAAGCAUUCAGCAAGAGACAUCACUUUUCUAAAUAACUGUAACAUAUUAAUCAAAACUGUAGAAGAGUUGAUUACCAAGGUUUACCCAAACAUUGAACAUAAUUUUCAAGAUCAUGAUUGGCUUUGUGAAAGAGCCAUACUUGCACCAAAGAAUGAAACUGUCUAGGUUGUCAAUUGAAAAUUUAUGCAAUCAAUCAAUAUUGAGGGAAAAAAAUCAUUUCUCAAUUGAUACUGUUGUGAACUCCAAUGAGACUGUGAACUUUGGAUCCUCCUGGAAUGCCUUCUCACAAACUGACAUUGAAGAAAGGAGUUCCAAUCAUGUUUUUAAGAAAUCUGGAUCCUCCAAAACUAUGCAAUAGAUCAAGACUGAUAGGCAAAUGCAUCCAUAUCUUUUGGAAGCAACAAUCCUCACUGGAUGAGGAAAGUGAGAAAAUGUGUUUAUUCCAAGAAUUCCACUGAUUCCAACAGACACACCCUUUGAAUUCAAGAGACUUCAGUUUCCAGUAAAAGUUAGUUUUGCAAUGUAGGUCAGCUCUAUGUUGGUUAUUCCAGAUUUGGAAAUGGCAACAAUCUCUUCAUACUCACAUCAAAUGGUAAAAUCAAGAACGGUGUUAGUCCUGCUACUUUACAACGAUCUCCAAAUGUUACAGUGAAACAAAAUUCUCCAAAUGUGAAAAUCUGUGAUAUAAAUCUGAGACUAUAGGAUACAAGUAAAUGCUUUAUUAUUAUUUCGCUCUUUAGUUUUGGGCUGCAGGCUCAAUUAGCCCUUUGCAGGAACUAGCUUUUAAAAGUUUGUAUGGAAUGCAGCUUUUAAUUUUUAAAUAUAUCUUGCUCAUCACUUUGGGAGACACCCAAUGGCCUCAAUAAGUAUUGGCAGUUGGUGAGACACAAGGAAGGGCGACAGGGAACGUGUGGGGGUGCAUUUCAGUAAAGAGCUUAGUGCACCCGAGCAAAACUACUAUGUAACUUAUGAGCUUUUGGCGGUGAAGAGGAGCAUCGACUUUUUCCGUCCGUACCUGUACAGUUCGCACUUUACCAUCAGAACGCACUGUGCAGCACUCAAGUGGUUGAGGACACUGCAGAACCCGGAGGGAAAACGCUGGCUAGGGAAACUGGACCAACACGACUAUAAGGUGCAGCACCGUCCUGGGCGGGUACAUGGUGAUGCGGACAGUUUGAGUCGUCUUUGUGGGCCGGAUUGCAGGCAUUGUGCAGCAGGGGAAGUGCAAAGUACCAAGAGCAGACGUACUGCAGUGACUGGAUUUGUGUCAACUGAAGAGGUACAGAGGGAAGAUGCCGAAUUAUGGCCAGUGGUAGAGUGGCUGCAGCAGGAAGCAGCGAGACCAUCUUUGGAGGAGGUAUCCAGGUCCAGCCCUGAAACUAAAAGCUAUUGGGGCCAGUGGGACCUUCUUCGUCUGAACAACGGGCUGCUUGAGAGGCGCUGGGAGACACCUGAUGGCCUCAAUAAGUAUUGGCAGUUGGUGAUACCCAAGAAGAUGAGAUCUGAGCUGCUGGAAGAAGCUAACAACCAAACUUCCAGCUAUGUGAAACAUCUGAGGUACACCAACAAGUUGGAGAGGCUCUGAAGUUUUCAGGUGAGGUGAUGAAGCGUUGACAUGACACCAGGGCUACUGAGGUCGACUUUGAGGAUGAUGAGAUGUGGUCUCAACCCCCGGCAGAAGAGAAGGCAGUCUCUGAAGCUGCAGAGUCCUUGGGAGCGGCCUUACACGGCGAUGGAUCGCCUGUCCGAUGUGACGUACAAGAUUCGAGGAGGCAGGAGGUCUCUUCCGAAAAUUGUUCAUGCGAACCGUCUGGCCAGUUCAGCUGGAGCACGCCUUCAGAGGUUGGGCUCACCUGUUGAGAAGGUCGUUUGGAGAUACGACUGUAGUGUGCUUUUCGCGUUCGACGUCGGGGUGUCGCGCGCGUUUGCGACGAUGAAAAACCGCCACUUCCGUAGUUCCCUCGCUCACUCGAUGGAGAAGGGAUCGGGCCGUCGCCGAGCGGUGGUUCAUUAUCUGGUGUGAAGCGCGCGGUGCAUGUCGAGCGCCUUUGCGGGCGCCGGCGCAGCCGAUGCGCGACCAUUAGUCGAGAACAGUGUCAGUCGGGGAGUUUGACUGGGGCGGUACGUCUGUCAAACGGUAACGCAGGUGUCCCAAGGCGAGCUCAGCGUGGACGGAAACCACACGUCGAGCAAAAGGGCAAAAGCUCGCUCGAUCUCGAUUUUCAGUACGAAUACGGACCGCGAAAGCGUGGCCCAUCGAUCCU
Molecule: long non-coding RNA, 2422 nt
Filed under: Octopus sinensis (East Asian common octopus)
Lineage: Eukaryota; Metazoa; Mollusca; Cephalopoda; Octopoda; Octopodidae
Description: uncharacterized LOC118763007
Rfam family: Eukaryotic large subunit ribosomal RNA (bases 2018-2422)
Source: RNAcentral